RNAcentral lists this transfer RNA (67 nucleotides) under Dawkinsia tambraparniei. Its description in RNAcentral is "tRNA-Cys". It matches the Rfam family "tRNA". Rfam says of the family: Transfer RNA (tRNA) molecules are approximately 80 nucleotides in length. Their secondary structure includes four short double-helical elements and three loops (D, anti-codon, and T loops). Further hydrogen bonds mediate the characteristic L-shaped molecular structure. tRNAs have two regions of fundamental functional importance: the anti-codon, which is responsible for specific mRNA codon recognition, and the 3' end, to which the tRNAs corresponding amino acid is attached (by aminoacyl-tRNA synthetases). tRNAs cope with the degeneracy of the genetic code in two manners: having more than one tRNA (with a specific anti-codon) for a particular amino acid; and 'wobble' base-pairing, i.e. permitting non-standard base-pairing at the 3rd anti-codon position. Lineage: Eukaryota; Metazoa; Chordata; Actinopteri; Cypriniformes; Cyprinidae. The record is from RNAcentral.
AAUCCUGUGGUGUAGUUCAUGUCGGAUUGCAAAUCCGAAGACGUAGAUUAAUACUCUGCCGGGGUUU